RNAcentral lists this ribosomal RNA (390 nucleotides) under uncultured bacterium. RNAcentral's name for it is "bacterial SSU rRNA". It matches the Rfam family "Bacterial small subunit ribosomal RNA", at positions 505 to 898 of the family's 1533-position model. The record is from RNAcentral.
GUGCCAGCCGCCGCGGUAAUACGUAGGGGGCGAGCGUUGUCCGGAAUUAUUGGGCGUAAAGGGUUCGCAGGCGGCCAAAUAAGUCAGAUGUGAAAUCCCGCGGCUUAACCGUGGUAAGCAUUUGAAACUGUAUGGCUUGAGUUAAGGAGAGGAAAGUGGAAUUCCUAGUGUAGCGGUGAAAUGCGUAGAUAUUAGGAAGAAUACCAGUGGCGAAGGCGACUUUCUGGACUUAUACUGACGCUGAGGAACGAAAGCGUGGGGAGCAAACAGGAUUAGAUACCCUGGUAGUCCACGCCGUAAACGAUGAGUGCUAGGUGUCGGGUGUCAAAGCUCGGUGCCGCAGCUAACGCAUUAAGCACUCCGCCUGGGGAGUACGUACGCAAGUAUGAA